Molecule: ribosomal RNA, 253 nt
Filed under: uncultured bacterium
Lineage: Bacteria
Also listed under: 1 other name
Description: partial 16S ribosomal RNA
Rfam family: Bacterial small subunit ribosomal RNA
Source: RNAcentral
UACGGAGGUUGCAAGCGUUGUUCGGAAUGACUGGGCGUAAAGGGAGCGCAGGCGGCCAAGUCAGUCUGAAGUGAAAGCCCGGGGCUUAACCCCGGAAUAGCUUUGGAUACUGCCUGGCUUGAGUGUGCGAUAGGAAAGCGGAAUUCCAGGUGUAGCGGUGAAAUGCGUAGAUAUCUGGAGGAACACCGGUGGCGAAAGCGGCUUUCUGGCGCAUAACUGACGCUGAGGCUCGAAAGCGUGGGGAGCGAACGGG